Molecule: ribosomal RNA, 465 nt
Filed under: Vreelandella stevensii
Lineage: Bacteria; Pseudomonadati; Pseudomonadota; Gammaproteobacteria; Oceanospirillales; Halomonadaceae
Description: partial 16S ribosomal RNA
Rfam family: Bacterial small subunit ribosomal RNA
Source: RNAcentral
CCUACGGGGGGCUGCAGUGGGGAAUAUUGGACAAUGGGGGCAACCCUGAUCCAGCCAUGCCGCGUGUGUGAAGAAGGCCCUCGGGUUGUAAAGCACUUUCAGUGAGGAAGAACGCCUGGUGGUUAAUACCCAUCAGGAAAGACAUCACUCACAGAAGAAGCACCGGCUAACUCCGUGCCAGCAGCCGUGGGAAUACGGAGGGUGCGAGCGGUAAUCGGAAUUACUGGGCGUAAAGCGCGCGUAGGUGGCUUGAUAAGCCGGUUGUGAAAGCCCCGGGCUCAACCUGGGAACGGCAUCCGGAACUGUCAAGCUAGAGUGCAGGAGAGGAAGGUAGAAUUCCCGGUGUAGCGGUGAAAUGCGUAGAGAUCGGGAGGAAUACCAGUGGCGAAGGCGGCCUUCUGGACUGAAACUGACACUGAGGUGCGAAAGCGUGGGUAGCAAACAGGAUUAGAUACCCUGGUAGUC